UAAGGUCGCUAUGAGUCGGCCUCGACUCGAUGAUACAUCCCCAUCGAAGAGCUAAACUGAAAGAAGAUGGAUGAGGAUGUGGAGCCACCGGAAGUUUCAUAGAUGGUUAUUGGGGAUAUAAAAUAGCAUAACCACUUUGGAAACAGUCUGGCAGCUUCUUAGGACAUUAACUGCAGAUCUACCAUGUACCAGUACGUUCACUCCUACGUAUUUACCUGAGAAAUUAUUUACCUGAGAAAAAUGGUAGGCUGGUAAAUAUAUAACAACGAGCUCCCU
Echinops telfairi (small Madagascar hedgehog) is the source of this 276-nucleotide long non-coding RNA. RefSeq lists it as uncharacterized. Lineage: Eukaryota; Metazoa; Chordata; Mammalia; Afrosoricida; Tenrecidae. The transcript has 2 exons. The record is from RefSeq and is a predicted model, not a curated record.